AACACUUUAGUUUAGGGACCAAUUCUCAUCAUUAACUAGUUACUAAUUAGCAUGCACAUUGCUAGCAUAUUGGCUGUUUAAUAUUAUUUAUAAAGCACAUAUUCUGCAUGACCAUAUUCUGUAUCUUUAAUCCUACCUAAUACCUAAACUUAUUUAUCUUACUAACAAUUAGAACUGUACCUUAUUAUGUGCAUUAUUACUGCACCUUAUUACAUACUUCUUUAAUUCAUUUCAAUCUUCUUGUACAAGUUACUGUAUAAUUUACUAGAUCAAAAAUUCUGUAAGCUCUUUUUUUUUUUUUAAAUACAGUAAAUCCCAUGAAGAAUGAAAGAUAUUGUAGCAAAAGUGAUCUCACAUGCAUUCUGCUAGAAGGUGGAGCUCCAGGAACCAUCCUAGUUCAGUCUCAGUUCAGUUGUUUAAAAACAGAGCAGACAUACAUUCAGUCAUUUAUACUCUGAAACUGUUCAUCUUGACCCUCAAAGUCUUUGUCUCUAAUUAGUGCAGAUGUUGCUCCUGGUAUUUAUUAUAUUUUCUCUCCUAAAAGAGAAUGCUGGUGAAGAUGUCAUAAAACCUGUCUUGACAGAGAAGCAGGUUUUGGAAGGAAAAGAUGUUACACUGAUCUGCAGCUACACUGAAGCUGUCAAUAAUUUACAGUGGUAUCGUCAGUAUCCCGGAUCCAAACCUGAGCACCUCAUCUUGUUCUAUGAGACCAUCCUCAAAUCAGAGCCUGCUCUCCGUCUGAACGCUGCAGCUGAUAAAGCAGCCAAAAGUAUGAAUCUGACCAUCUCUUCUACAGAAGUGAAAGACUCUGCCGUGUACUACUGUGCCCUGGAGCCCACAGUGACAGGAAACACAACUGCACUGUACAAAAACAGAGUGAGAAAGGAUAUUUAAGACAGAAGAUGAUGAUGCACAAUGCAGAUUUUAAAACUACACUCUUUAUAAACUGGACCAGUUGCAACCUUUUGGAAUAGUUUUCAAACACAUGUACAGUACAAUUGAUAGUGUCCUCACCAUUAAUAUUGUCAGUCUACUUCUUAAUACAGAUAUGAAUAGUAAAAAUAAAUACAGUGCAACUGCUAUGUUUGCAUAAUAUCAACUUAUUUAUAUACUGUACAUACUUGUAGGGUGAAAUGAGUGUAGGUAUGUGUGGGAGGAGCUCAAGGUUUUGUCAACUUCAGUGGAAGAAAUCAAAAAGACAACACUGACUUUCCUUCAUACAGAUCCUGAUAGAAGUCUGAACUCAAACUACAGAAACAUGUUACUCAUCUCAUCCAUUUUCAUUUUUAUCCUCAGUUACUGUAUGUAUUGUUACUCUUACAAUGUAAUACACAUUUGCACCGUUUUCCAGAACAUCACUAAAAAUAAAUAAAAAACUUGCAUAAUAAUUACAGUCCUUGAGUCUUCUAAUCUCUCUGGACAGUGACAGUCUUUAUUACUGUACCUUAUUACAUACUUCUUUAAUUCAUAAUUUCAAUCUUCUUGUACAAGUUACUGUAUAAUUUACUAGGUCAAAAAUUCUGUAAGCUCUUUUUGUUUUACAUUACAGGACAGUACAGUACAUGAUGAAUUAUGAGAUAUUAUAGGAAAAAGUGAUCUCACAUGCAUUCUCCAGAAGGUGGAGCUCCAGGAACCAUCCUAGUUCAGUCUCAGUUCAGUUAAAACAGAGCAGACAUACACUGAGUCAGUCAUACUCAGAGAGAGAACUGGAAGUCUUGACUCUCAAAGUUAUUGUCUUUCAUUAGUGUAGAUGUUGCCCCUCGUAUUUAUUAUAUUUUCUCUCCUAAAAGGUGAGUGAUUCAACAAGCUUUUUAUACUGUUAACAAAUCUGAAUUAGUCCAUUAGAAAUGAUUAAUUAAAACAUUGUUUGUUUUAAACAGAGAAUGCUGGUGAAGAUGUCAUAAAACCUGUCUUGACAGAGAAGCAGGUUUUGGAAGGAAAAGAUGUUACACUGAUCUGCAGCUACACUGGCACUGUUCAGAGUUUACAAUGGUAUCGUCAGUAUCCCGGAU
Molecule: non-coding RNA, 2012 nt
Organism: Onychostoma macrolepis
Lineage: Eukaryota; Metazoa; Chordata; Actinopteri; Cypriniformes; Cyprinidae
Source: the annotation of a RefSeq genome assembly